Molecule: non-coding RNA, 5378 nt
Organism: Oryctolagus cuniculus (rabbit)
Lineage: Eukaryota; Metazoa; Chordata; Mammalia; Lagomorpha; Leporidae
Source: RefSeq, a predicted model, not a curated record
GGCGGAGUCGCGGCUGGAGCCACCUCCAACCGCCGUCCCAGGUGGGACCUCGGCUAUCGCGACGUCCAGGAUGGGAAUCCUCCUGCCGCAUGCAUCCACACCCCGACAGCAUCUAGCCUCCCAGAGCCCCGACUGUCUCCCCCUCCAGAUCGAGGAUCCUGGAAGACAGCUGAUCCACAACCCUGAGGAGUCCCCAAGAUCGUCCUGGCCAUCCCUCGACGGUGCUGCACCACACUCUUGCGGACCCCUCCCCUCCCCUCGGUCGGCACCCAAUUUAAACACACUGCCUGCUUCUCCCUCUCCAACACCAAACUGACUGUCCCCAGCUGUUCCUUGACAGCUGGGGUGGGGCCAAACUGACUUGCCCCGCCCCCAGCCUGGCCCCGCCCCCGUCAGCCCUCUAGGGGAGGCGCCUAAGGACAGAGCCCAGACACCCAAAGGCAUUCGCUGAAAGACUGGCCACAGCGCCCCCUCCCCGGGGACAGGGCAGGGACAGUGCCACACACACACACACACACACACACACACACACCCCUCCUGUCUUAAGCUGACUCCUCACAACCCAGUGGCUGCACCGGCAGGCUCAACACUACCUGGGGGCUGAUCUUAGCUAAAAACGGUGUGCUCCCAUCCUUGGGAUGCAGGUGCCAGGUAGGGAACUGUGGGUCUCAUAUACAGGCCCCUGCUGGGGCAACACAGAAGUCAAGGGGGCAGGAUGGGAGCUAGAAACUGCCCCCUGCGCACCCUUAGCCAUCCUCAAAGGCAGCUGUGCCUCCAAAUAGCUCAAGUGGGUGAGCUGAACACCUAGGCUUCAGCAGAGGCAGGACGCUGCGGGUCACAUCCCAGUUCGGCCUCUCCUCCUUGUCCGGGGGGAGAGAAGGGGCUUAUGGCAGCCCCCCCACACACACACACUUCGCUUCUACACACUCCUGAGUGGUAGUCUGCAAGGGUUCUGAUGGAGCCUGCAGUACAGAUCCACAUGGAAUCUUGCAAACUGCCCCAAGCAGUCCCCGGAGACAAUUCCUAACCAGGCAUCCUCCGGUCCUCAGAGCCCAGCUAGUUCUCAAGCUCUCUGGUCAAAGGCUCUUGCAAAGUCAGAUUUUGUAGACUCUCACUUUUCCACUCCCUGUGCAGGUGCCCAGCCCCAGGCUCCCUCACAGAACAGUUUUACACCCCGAUCUCUUAAGCCCCCCGCCCUUACUGGAAACAACCACGGAUCAGGACACAAGGCCAAGACUGCCGCUGGCUGGGCGACUGUGGCAAAGCAAAGGACACUCAGCUUCCUGUGCUGUGGUCCUUCCUACAGACCUCAGCCCCCCACCCCCACCACAAACAGAACAGCAACAGUUUGAAGACUGAGUACUCAGCCCGUGCACGGUUAUGGGAGGGGAUUGUCCACGCUGCUGGAGCAACAGUCCUGGGACCCGAGAUUUGUGCUGUCCAGUUCACACGGCCAGUACCGUUCAUCUCCCCUUGGCUGCUCAGGGCCUGCCUGCCUGCCUGCCCGCCCCUUGGCUCUCUGCACCUGCACCUGCAUCCCCCUGCCUGGGGGUUUCCCUCUUCACACAUCUGGACAACAUCAGGGAACUCCGUCCCCAAAGCACAUUCUCCAAUGGGAGGCUUGUGAUCAUUUCGGAGAACCUGCGCUCGAUGGCUUUCACCUCCUCGGCGGAGAUGAAAUGCCGCACGUUGUAGCUGACGCCCACGCGGUUCAGAUGGCCCCGCACGUGGUUGGCCAAGCCGAUGCCAUUGUGGAAACGGUCGGGGCAGUAGGGGCAUUUCCGCUCCUCCGGCUUCAGUGCCGCGGCCGGGUCUCCCUCCAAGAGCGUGUCCAGCCCCAGGGGGUCACCCAUCGGCGCAUCCAAGAGCAGGAAGUCCAAGGGUAUAUGCUGCAUUCGAUGCACGGGAACACGGCCGGCUCUUCAUCCUCGUCCUCGCCCUCGUCCAUGCUGGCCACCCCCUCGACCACCUCCUCCAGUAGCUCACACAGAGCCUAGGGAGAUUUCUCACAGCCGUCAUCAAGGAAAGUUUCACCCCCAGCUGGCAAGUGCUUUAAAAAAAAUAAUAAAAGGCUUGCAACCACAACCUUUGCAAAGGGGGACAUGGAAUGGUGGCAACACAACCCGGAGCGAAGAAGACACCUGCCCGUGACCAGUGUGAGUCCUCACUACGGUUCUUCCUGGUCACCGCUCCUUUUGUUUCCAAGUUCUCGCCUGCAUGAGGGGGACGCUGGAUUCCUGGGACGUGGGUUCCAACAAGCGGGCUGGGCUGUGUGGCCCGUCAGGGGCACACGAUGCUCACAGGACGGUGCCGAGAGCCUAGCGCGGUGGCUGCCGUUCAUAUGGAGAGCUCUCAUGAAUCCUGGUAAGACGAUCAUUUUUACACCAGCGCCCACCAGGCCGUUUCCUCACACAGGGAGUGGCCGUCGGCCCUGUUAUCACUUUCUGCUUUUUACCCAAUACAGAUCCUGUCCCCUGGAUCCUCACAUCUGUGAGACGCAGCUCAUGGAUUCCUUUAUGCCCGACGAGAAAGCUGAGGCUCAGAAAGGCCCUAGCAUCAUUUCAAGGUGGGGAGGAGGUGGGGAGGCACCUAGCAGAGACCAGCCAGGACUUCAAAGGGUCCAACCUCCAGGCCUGGACCCCUCCGCCCCUGCUCCUGGCAGAGAUAAUGAGAGUUGACUGUGCUCAUUCCAGACCUCUCCCACCCCUCCCCACCAAGGGGCUAGGCCUGCUGGGAGCCACCUCCUCCUGCCUGGCCUCCUAAUUCCCUACUGUGUCCCCUCUCACUCCCCAGGGGGACUUUCUUUCUCUCUCUUUCUCUCUCUCGGGCCUGGGCACCUGCAGCUUACCCCCUGCCCUCCCUGAGGCCAGGGCCAGCAUGGCACUCACCAGCUGCUGAUCCGAUGGGUGGCCGAGGUAGCACAGGGGAGGGCUUCGCUGAGGCCGGGAUGGGGCUGCCCAUCUGCAACAGAGAGGGGAGACCCUGAGGGGCUGGGGUUCCCCCUGGCUGGGGCCCUCCACACCCCAGCUCCAGGAACCCUGCCGGGGCACCUUGGAAGGGCCCUGCUGGCUCCCACAACCCCUCAUCCCAGAGAGCCCUUUGGGCCUCUCUCCACUCCUGAACCCUGAAAGGGGUUUCUUAGUACCAGCUCCCUGGGCUUUCUGCUUCCCUCCCCCCACCAGCCCCGCAACACCUGGCAGCCAGGGUGGGUUUUAGAAGUCAAGCCCUGGCAGGAACUCACCUGGGCUUCUCAUUCUACCUACAGGAAGAGCCGGAUUGCUAACUGCCACCUGCAAGGCCCUGUGAGGUCAGACUCAGCACUUGUCCAACCACCCUCCUCUGUCUCUGGGCCCCUCACUGCCUCUGUCUGACUGUCCUGCCUUCCUUGUGGAGCCCCCUGUGUGGGCCAGCUAACUCUGGCUGACCUCAGGGGCUUGGCAUGUGCUCCUCGCUCUGCCUGGAACACCCUUCUCUGGCCACUUGUUCCAAAGGGAACCCCUGUGAGGUUUGUCUCUCCCUUCCUCUCUCUCUUUCUCUCAGCAGCCCCUUGGAGAUGCCUGGCUCCCUCUCUGGAUGGCUGCUUGUCACUCACAGCAGUGACUUGCUUGGCCUUGUUCAUUACAGGAGCCCAUCCAACACCUGGUGCCACCACAGGACGACUCACAAAAUACUCGCCAGGCUGGCGUGUGCAGUGACCGAGCCUUGUUGGCCUGAGCUGUGCCUGCCGCCUUCUGGACCCCCUUCCAGGCCCUAAGCCCUAAAUUUAAUCCCCUCCUGGAAUACUGCCCCUCCACCCCCCGACCCCCACCCUACCUCACUAGACAGAGCCAACUCUCCAUUAUCCGCCUGUAGAGCCAGGGCCUGGAGCGACCACAGGAAUCCUGGCCUGCAUCUACUCUGCCCGCCGCGCUUGCCUGAUGCCGGUGAGCGCGUGCCAAUCGGGGCGCGGGCCAAUUGUCUGGGCCAAGGUUAACACACUGGGUUGGGGGGGGGGGGGGAGGCGGAGGGCGGGGGAACUUGCGCCCUGUCCAGAACCCAGCAGAUGCAACUGCUGGAUCACCUUCAACUUGAGGGUGAUCCAGAGAGACAGAGGACCGCUGCUGGGGUGAAUUCUGGUAUUUUUUUCUUUUUUGCCACUGUCCUCACCAUUCCAUAUUUGCCCAGGCAAAUUUGAAAGCUGGCCAUUUAGGAAUCAAGAAAUAAAAAUGAAGCCAGGGUGGGGUGUGGGGGGCAGCGUGAAGGAAGGGGUGUGUGUGUGUCCAGAAAAGGGGGGGCUACCACCCUGGCUGGGAGGGUCGUCUUUCUGCUGAGUCUUAUAAAGGCUGUGAUUGCUACACAGGGUCUGCAAAGGCAGGGAGGUUUGCAAUGUCUGAAGCAGAUUAAAAAAAAAAAAAAAACCAAAACCCUGACAUUUGGGACCAGACCAUGGGAGGGUGGGGGGAAGCUGUCCUGUGGGUAGUAGGAUAUUAAGUGGCAUCUCUAGUCUCCACCCACCAGAUGGGAGGAGCAGCCUCCCCACCGCAUGGUGAUAACAACUGACAAUCUUUGCAGAUGUUAACAGUGUCCCCCAGUAGGCAGAAUCAACAACCCCCCAGCUUCCCCACCCCACCCCCCACCCUGCCUGGUUUGAGAGCCGCUGGGGUGGGGCAGAUGGGGAUGCUGUGCAGGGUGUGAGAGUUGGUUGAUUGAUCAACUCUGUGAGCAAGAACCCAAGAAACAGGGUCCCCGGCGAGUCAUAGAUGCGAACUUCUCUGGAGAAGGCGGUCGGUAGGUUGGGUACCCAGCCCCGGCAGAGCCUGGUGUCCUGUUUGUCCUGCUCCUGAGAUUCCAAGGUGUCCCAGAUUUGAUGAUCCUACGAUUGCCACUAAGAAUUCUCAAGCCAGGGCCGGGGUGGGGGUGGUGGUGGCAGUGCUGCGUUGCCCUCUUUGUCUGAACGGGCUCCCAGUGCAGGCUCCUGUUUUUAAUAACUUUGGAGGAAGCAGGCCAAAGCAGGGCCCAUGUCCGAGAUGCCUGGAGGCCUCCAAGGAUGAUGAUGAUGAUGAUGAUGGAGGAGGAGGAGGAAGGAUCCAGAAGUCCCAUUGUGGACAGCUGUUCUUGGGUUAGUGGCCGUGCCAAGAAGGGGGAGGCUCUCAUUGGCUCUUGUCACCUGAGGUCUCUCCUGGGAGGACUCGCCAUAGAGAGGAGGGCAUCCAUGAGCAGCUUGAAGCCAGGCGGUGUUGUGGAGCUGCCAAGAAUCUAGACUUUGGAGCUGAACAGAUUCAAGUUCAAGGCCCAGUGCUGUGACCUGAAGGGCUUGCGUUUCCCAGGCUUGGUUUCCUCUUGUGUGCAGGGCCAGUAAUGGGUGCCAGUGAGAACCCACAGAAUGCUCCAGCCAGAGG